Molecule: ribosomal RNA, 250 nt
Filed under: uncultured bacterium
Lineage: Bacteria
Description: partial 16S ribosomal RNA
Rfam family: Bacterial small subunit ribosomal RNA
Source: RNAcentral
UACAGAGGGUGCAAACGUUGCUCGGAAUUACUGGGCGUAAAGCGCGUGUAGGCGGUUUCGCGAGUCCGAUGUGAAAGCCCGGGGCUCAACCCCGGAAGUGCAUUGGAUACUACGAAGCUUGAGUGCUGGAGAGGAGAGCGGAAUUCCCGGUGUAGAGGUGAAAUUCGUAGAUAUCGGGAGGAACACCAGUGGCGAAGGCGGCUCUCUGGACAGACACUGACGCUGAUACGCGAAAGCAUGGGGAUCAAAC